UGACGAGUCCUUGGAGAGCGGGAUGGUGGCGACAUUCCUCAUGUCAGCUCUCAAGUCCAUGGGAGCUUAUAGCUUCAUUGCACCAGUGUGGCAUUUGGGCCCCGGCUGGCAGCGACGACUGCCUUUCUGUUGGGUGUCUGAGUGCUAUGAAGAUGCACACGGGUCCACAUGCAUUCCGUUUUGAGAAUGUCAAUGGUUCACCAACUGCUGCUUUGGAUUUCACCGGUUGGUGGUAGUUGACCCGCUGUUUGGAAUGCAGCCAAUUCGAGUGAAGAAAUAUCCGUAUUUGUGGCUCUAUUACAAUGGUGAAAUCUACAACCAUAAGAAGGUCGGUGUCAGAUACAUCAGAACGGCAGGAGGCGUUAUGGCAUCAUCGGCUUGGCUUUCCCUGGAAAGGAAAUGGGAAGGGCCCUGUUUCACUUAGAC
RNAcentral lists this long non-coding RNA (426 nucleotides) under Piliocolobus tephrosceles (Ugandan red Colobus). Its description in RNAcentral is "lncRNA (ENSPTEG00000023955.1)". Lineage: Eukaryota; Metazoa; Chordata; Mammalia; Primates; Cercopithecidae. The record is from RNAcentral.